This is an RNA transcript of Homo sapiens (human), 3371 nucleotides long. It is a transcript of the gene named striatin interacting protein 1, with no coding region annotated. Lineage: Eukaryota; Metazoa; Chordata; Mammalia; Primates; Hominidae. The transcript has 22 exons. The record is from RefSeq and is marked reviewed.
GUGGAGCAGCCAAGAUGGAGCCGGCAGUCGGCGGUCCGGGCCCACUGAUCGUGAACAACAAACAGCCCCAGCCCCCGCCACCUCCGCCGCCGGCAGCCGCACAGCCACCACCCGGGGCACCGCGGGCCGCCGCGGGCCUCCUGCCUGGGGGCAAAGCCCGCGAGUUCAACCGCAACCAGCGCAAAGACUCAGAGGGCUAUUCGGAGUCACCAGACCUGGAGUUUGAGUAUGCUGACACAGACAAGUGGGCUGCAGAGCUCUCGGAGCUUUACAGCUACACGGAAGGGCCAGAAUUCCUGAUGAAUCGAAAAUGCUUUGAGGAGGACUUCCGGAUCCAUGUGACAGACAAGAAGUGGACUGAGCUGGAUACCAACCAGCACCGGACCCAUGCCAUGAGGCUCCUGGAUGGCUUGGAAGUCACUGCCAGGGAGAAGAGACUCAAGGUGGCUCGAGCAAUUCUCUAUGUUGCUCAAGGCACGUUUGGGGAGUGCAGCUCGGAGGCAGAGGUGCAGUCCUGGAUGCGCUACAACAUCUUUCUCCUCCUGGAGGUGGGCACGUUCAAUGCUUUGGUGGAGCUUCUGAACAUGGAAAUAGAACACUGCUGUGUUCGCCCUGCAGUUUCCGCCUUGGCAGGAGGCCAGGCACAAGACUGACAUAUGGGCUCAACCAGUGCCUGGCCUUGCCUGUGUCACCUUUGUCCAGUGGACAGCAACAGUGCCGCCUGCAGCAGUGCUGUGAGGAAGCCUGCCAUCUCCCUGGCUGACAGCACAGACCUCAGGGUCCUGCUCAACAUCAUGUACCUGAUAGUGGAGACCGUUCAUCAGGAGUGUGAGGGUGACAAGGCUGAGUGGAGGACCAUGCGGCAGACCUUCAGAGCCGAGCUGGGCUCCCCGCUGUACAACAAUGAGCCAUUUGCCAUCAUGCUGUUUGGGAUGGUGACCAAAUUUUGCAGUGGUCACGCCCCUCACUUUCCCAUGAAGAAAGUUCUCUUGCUGCUCUGGAAGACAGUAUUGUGCACGCUAGGCGGCUUUGAGGAGCUGCAGAGCAUGAAGGCUGAGAAGCGCAGCAUCCUGGGCCUCCCCCCGCUUCCUGAGGACAGCAUCAAAGUGAUUCGCAACAUGAGAGCAGCCUCUCCACCAGCAUCUGCUUCAGACUUGAUUGAGCAGCAGCAGAAACGGGGCCGCCGAGAGCACAAGGCUCUGAUAAAGCAGGACAACCUAGAUGCCUUCAACGAGCGGGAUCCCUACAAGGCUGAUGACUCUCGAGAAGAGGAAGAGGAGAAUGAUGAUGACAACAGUCUGGAGGGGGAGACGUUUCCCCUGGAACGGGAUGAAGUGAUGCCUCCCCCGCUACAGCACCCACAGACUGACAGGCUGACUUGCCCCAAAGGGCUCCCGUGGGCUCCCAAGGUCAGAGAGAAAGACAUUGAGAUGUUCCUUGAGUCCAGCCGCAGCAAAUUUAUAGGUUACACUCUAGGCAGUGACACGAACACAGUGGUGGGGCUGCCCAGGCCAAUCCACGAAAGCAUCAAGACUCUGAAACAGCACAAGUACACGUCGAUUGCAGAGGUCCAGGCACAGAUGGAGGAGGAAUACCUCCGCUCCCCUCUCUCAGGGGGAGAAGAAGAAGUUGAGCAAGUCCCUGCAGAAACCCUCUACCAAGGCUUGCUCCCCAGCCUGCCUCAGUAUAUGAUUGCCCUCCUGAAGAUCCUGUUGGCUGCAGCACCCACCUCAAAAGCCAAAACAGACUCAAUCAACAUCCUAGCGGACGUCUUGCCUGAGGAGAUGCCCACCACAGUGUUGCAGAGCAUGAAGCUGGGGGUGGAUGUAAACCGCCACAAAGAGGUCAUUGUUAAGGCCAUUUCUGCUGUCCUGCUGCUGCUGCUCAAGCACUUUAAGUUGAACCAUGUCUACCAGUUUGAAUACAUGGCCCAGCACCUGGUGUUUGCCAACUGCAUUCCUUUGAUCCUAAAGUUCUUCAAUCAAAACAUCAUGUCCUACAUCACUGCCAAGAACAGCAUUUCUGUCCUGGAUUACCCUCACUGCGUGGUGCAUGAGCUGCCAGAGCUGACGGCGGAGAGUUUGGAAGCAGGUGACAGUAACCAAUUUUGCUGGAGGAACCUCUUUUCUUGUAUCAAUCUGCUUCGGAUCUUGAACAAGCUGACAAAGUGGAAGCAUUCAAGGACAAUGAUGCUGGUGGUGUUCAAGUCAGCCCCCAUCUUGAAGCGGGCCCUAAAGGUGAAACAAGCCAUGAUGCAGCUCUAUGUGCUGAAGCUGCUCAAGGUACAGACCAAAUACUUGGGGCGGCAGUGGCGAAAGAGCAACAUGAAGACCAUGUCUGCCAUCUACCAGAAGGUGCGGCAUCGGCUGAACGACGACUGGGCAUACGGCAAUGAUCUUGAUGCCCGGCCUUGGGACUUCCAGGCAGAGGAGUGUGCCCUUCGUGCCAACAUUGAACGCUUCAACGCCCGGCGCUAUGACCGGGCCCACAGCAACCCUGACUUCCUGCCAGUGGACAACUGCCUGCAGAGUGUCCUGGGCCAACGGGUGGACCUCCCUGAGGACUUUCAGAUGAACUAUGACCUCUGGUUAGAAAGGGAGGUCUUCUCCAAGCCCAUUUCCUGGGAAGAGCUGCUGCAGUGAGGCUGUUGGUUAGGGGACUGAAAUGGAGAGAAAAGAUGAUCUGAAGGUACCUGUGGGACUGUCCUAGUUCAUUGCUGCAGUGCUCCCAUCCCCCACCAGGUGGCAGCACAGCCCCACUGUGUCUUCCGCAGUCUGUCCUGGGCUUGGGUGAGCCCAGCUUGACCUCCCCUUGGUUCCCAGGGUCCUGCUCCGAAGCAGUCAUCUCUGCCUGAGAUCCAUUCUUCCUUUACUUCCCCCACCCUCCUCUCUUGGAUAUGGUUGGUUUUGGCUCAUUUCACAAUCAGCCCAAGGCUGGGAAAGCUGGAAUGGGAUGGGAACCCCUCCGCCGUGCAUCUGAAUUUCAGGGGUCAUGCUGAUGCCUCUCGAGACAUACAAAUCCUUGCUUUGUCAGCUUGCAAAGGAGGAGAGUUUAGGAUUAGGGCCAGGGCCAGAAAGUCGGUAUCUUGGUUGUGCUCUGGGGUGGGGGUGGGGUGUUUCUGAUGUUAUUCCAGCCUCCUGCUACAUUAUAUCCAGAAGUAAUUGCGGAGGCUCCUUCAGCUGCCUCAGCACUUUGAUUUUGGACAGGGACAAGGUAGGAAGAGAAGCUUCCCUUAACCAGAGGGGCCAUUUUUCCUUUUGGCUUUCGAGGGCCUGUAAAUAUCUAUAUAUAAUUCUGUGUGUAUUCUGUGUCAUGUUGGGGUUUUUAAUGUGAUUGUGUAUUCUGUUUACAUUAAAAAGAAGCAAAAAUAA